AUCGUAUCGAGCCCAGUACACAACUGGUACUUAUUUUAUCGACCCCCUGAAAGAAUAAAAGGCAGCGUUGAUCGCGGUGGAAUUUAAACUCAAAUUGAAAAAAACAGACAA
Octopus sinensis (East Asian common octopus) is the source of this 111-nucleotide long non-coding RNA. RefSeq lists it as uncharacterized. The transcript is spliced from 3 exons. The record is from RefSeq and is a predicted model, not a curated record. NCBI's taxonomy places the organism in Eukaryota, Metazoa, Mollusca, Cephalopoda, Octopoda, Octopodidae.